Molecule: ribosomal RNA, 746 nt
Filed under: uncultured Fusobacterium sp.
Lineage: Bacteria; Fusobacteriati; Fusobacteriota; Fusobacteriia; Fusobacteriales; Fusobacteriaceae
Description: bacterial SSU rRNA
Rfam family: Bacterial small subunit ribosomal RNA
Source: RNAcentral
CUUCGGUUUGGGUGGCGGACGGGUGAGUAACGCGUAAAGAACUUGCCUCACAGUUAGGGACAACAUUUGGAAACGAAUGCUAAUACCUGAUAUUAUGAUUUUAGGGCAUCCUAAGAUUAUGAAAGCUAUAUGUGCUGUGAGAGAGCUUUGCGUCCCAUUAGCUAGUUGGAGAGGUAACGGCUCACCAAGGCGAUGAUGGGUAGCCGGCCUGAGAGGGUGAACGGCCACAAGGGGACUGAGACACGGCCCUUACUCCUACGGGAGGCAGCAGUGGGGAAUAUUGGACAAUGGACCAAAAGUCUGAUCCAGCAAUUCUGUGUGCACGAUGACGUUUUUCGGAAUGUAAAGUGCUUUCAGUUGGGAAGAAAAAAAUGACGGUACCAACAGAAGAAGUGACGGCUAAAUACGUGCCAGCAGCCGCGGUAAUACGUAUGUCACAAGCGUUAUCCGGAUUUAUUGGGCGUAAAGCGCGUCUAGGUGGUUAUGUAAGUCUGAUGUGAAAAUGCAGAGCUCAACUCUGUAUUGCGUUGGAAACUGCAUGACUAGAGUACUGGAGAGGUAAGCGGAACUACAAGUGUAGAGGUGAAAUUCGUAGAUAUUUGUAGGAAUGCCGAUGGGGAAGCCAGCUUACUGGACAGAUACUGACGCUAAAGCGCGAAAGCGUGGGUAGCAAACAGGAUUAGAUACCCUGGUAGUCCACGCCGUAAACGAUGAUUACUAGGUGUUGGGGGUCGAACCUCAGCGCC